This 468-nucleotide ribosomal RNA is filed under the name uncultured bacterium. RNAcentral's name for it is "partial 16S ribosomal RNA". It matches the Rfam family "Bacterial small subunit ribosomal RNA", at positions 28 to 507 of the family's 1533-position model. The record is from RNAcentral.
GACGAACGCUGGCGGCGUGCUUAACACAUGCAAGUCGAACGGAAAGGCCCUGCUUUUGUGGGGUGCUCGAGUGGCGAACGGGUGAGUAACGCGUGAGUAACCUGCCCUUGACUUUGGGAUAACUUCAGGAAACUGGGGCUAAUACCGGAUAGGAGCUCCUGCUGCAUGGUGGGGGUUGGAAAGUUUCGGCGGUUGGGGGUGGACUCGCGGCUUAUCAGCUUGUUGGUGGGGUAGUGGCUUACCAAGGCUUUGACGGGUAGCCGGCCUGAGAGGGUGACCGGCCACAUUGGGACUGAGAUACGGCCCAGACUCCUACGGGAGGCAGCAGUGGGGAAUAUUGCACAAUGGGCGGAAGCCUGAUGCAGCGACGCCGCGUGCGGGAUGACGGCCUUCGGGUUGUAAACCGCUUUCGCCUGUGACGAAGCGUGAGUGACGGUAAUGGGUAAAGAAGCACCGGCUAACUACGUG